AGGGAGAAAAAUUGUUCUUCUUAACCUCUGAGGAUAGGACAAGAAGCAACGGGCUUAAAUUGCAGCAGGGGAGGUUUAGGUUGGACAUUAGGAAAAACUUCCUAACUGUCAGGGUGGUUAAGCACUGGAAUAAAUUGCCUGGGGAGAUUGUGGAAUCUCCAUCAUUGGAGAGGUUUAAGAGCAGGUUGGACAAACACCUGUCAGGGAUGAUCUAGAUCAUACUUAGUCCUACCAUGAGUGCAGGGGACUGGACUAGGUGACCUCUCGAGGUCCCUUCCAGUCCUAUGAUGCUAUGAUUGCCCAGAUGGGGAACUGGGGCCCAAGGGACUUGCCCGCGGUCACAUAGGAAGGCUGGUGUAGAACAGGGACUAGUACCCCUGUUAUAGACUAGUGCUCUAACCACUGGGCAGCCCAUCCUCUCACCCCCUUUGCUUCCUGCUCUCCUGCCCUCCAGUUCUUCCUCCCCUUUUCCUGGGCUCCAUGGGGAGCAUCUGGGAGAGGCUUGGUGCAGACCAAGGCGGGCUCCUGGCAACACGCCCUCCCUGGCUGGGGAAGCGACUGGCGAAGGCAAUAGCGAUGUAGGGACCCCCCCAACGCUGCCCCAGCAGCAGCCGAAGUGAGCUGGGGAGGCCGGGAGCCCGGGAGGGAGGGGAGGGAACUCUCCCAGCCCACCUUAAGCCGGCAACGUAGGGCUGAUUCAGGCAGGCAGGGAUGACCUUAGAAAAACAAGUUUGUGCGGAGCCAGGCAGGGCCCCGCCGCACCAGCCCGGCAAGCUACCUUAAAUCGGGGCUGGGCUGAGAGCCGGGGGGUGGGGGGUGUUCUCGGCACUGGCGCGCGGUGCAAGCAGUCCUGCCUGCUAGGCAACGGGGGGAGGCGGGUGUCUGCACAGCUCCAGCCGCAGCAGCUGGGAACCGGAGCGGGAGACAGGGCGGCCGCAGGAGCCGGGCUGCAGGUCCGCGCGCUGCCUCUCCCGGGGGCGCCCAGGGCGCGCGGCUGCAGCGCCCCGGGGCUGAGCGCUCCCCCUGCGGCUGGCUGCCCCGGUGCGCCCCGGCAGCCGCGGGCUCCCGGCUGCUCCCCGCCGCCGCGGGGGCGUUGCAGCGGCUGGUUCGCAGGGGUCGCCGCGCCCGGGAUUUGGACCGCGCCUGGGCAGAGCCCACCGCCUGCGGCAGGUGGGUGGCAGCUCCCCGGGCAGGAUCGGCCCGCGGGGAAGUCCGAUUCCUCUUCCUCCUUUCGGGCUGGGGCCCCAGCGUAAUUUCCUCCUGCCGCUGGCCGGCCCCUGCUCUUCACGCAGCUCUUCUCCUUUCUGUCCCUGCCAGGCGCCAGCGAUGGAGGCUCUCGCCAGCCCUGCCCGCUGGGUGCCCUACGUGCUGCUCCUCGCCCUGCACGGCUGGCCGGCAUCAGAACCAGGUUGGGAUUGGCAGGAGAGUAUAGCUGAGAACAUUGUCACCCAUUAAGAAAAGGUCAGUACGAAAGUGAGUCUCACAUCCCCUCUAACUGUAACCCCAGCCAUUUCUACUGAUCACCACCAGGAAAGUCACACUUGUCUGGAGUUUAUUUUCCUAAUAUCGUUACAAAAAACACCCAUAAGGUGACUAACUGCCUGAUUAGGAGACAAUUAUUUUCUUUAGUUUGCAUUUGGCACCACUUUGUAUGGCAUCAGUUUGGCUGCUCUGUUGAUGUCUCAUUCGUUACCAGGAUGACGUCGCUUUCCAGCUCGGCCCCUCACUCCCGCACCUCCCCAUCCUGCAGGAGGGAGUUUACCAGUAACUCAGCAGCACUGCUACUGCUGUUGCGGAGUUUGGAGCCAGGAGGACAUCUCUUCAUGGGAGCCCUGUACAGAGACUGGGGACAACAGGAGCUGGGGGGAGGGACGUGGUGGCUGGAAGAACUUCCCCCACCCUUUCACCAUUCAGAACUCUGGGUAGAACGUACGGGGCUGAGACCUGCUACAUCAGGUGUAACUCAAGUGACAUAACUACUCUCCACACAAGAUACCCUCCUGUACUGAGCUCAAACCUGUACAACUGGGGGCUGGAGGACC
RNAcentral lists this long non-coding RNA (2042 nucleotides) under Chrysemys picta bellii (western painted turtle). RNAcentral's name for it is "lncRNA (ENSCPBG00000014622.1)". The record is from RNAcentral. Lineage: Eukaryota; Metazoa; Chordata; Testudines; Emydidae.